UGUUUAUGAAUAUGCUAUUUCUAGUUCCUAAGACUACUGAAUUACAUUAAAAACCCGAGAAAGUUAUUAGAUACCUCACUGGGUUGUUUUUUGUAUUUGCAUAAAAUUGUGACAUAACAGAGUGAAAACAAGCCAAGUAGAUGUAUUAAUAAUUCAUUGUGAAUUUUUCUGCUGCAUUUACUCACAUCAUUUCUUUUUAAACCCAUAUUAUUACUGAUAUUUGGCUCGAAUUUCCUAAGAUGUUAUCAAGUGGCCCAAGAAUUUUGCUGUCACCUUAUAUAUAAACAUAUGUAUAUAUGCAUAUGUUUAUUUUAAGGCUUCAAUUUCUGCUGAG
Molecule: long non-coding RNA, 334 nt
Filed under: Bos taurus (domestic cattle)
Lineage: Eukaryota; Metazoa; Chordata; Mammalia; Artiodactyla; Bovidae
Description: long non-coding RNA NONBTAT025794
Source: RNAcentral